RNAcentral lists this ribosomal RNA (467 nucleotides) under Tropidopola cylindrica. RNAcentral describes it as "partial 16S ribosomal RNA". It matches the Rfam family "Archaeal large subunit ribosomal RNA", at positions 1996 to 2669 of the family's 2987-position model. The record is from RNAcentral. Lineage: Eukaryota; Metazoa; Arthropoda; Insecta; Orthoptera; Acrididae.
UGUUUUAAAGAGCCGCGGUAUUUUGACCGUGCAAAGGUAGCAUAAUCAUUAGUCUCUUAAUUAGGGGCUGGAAUGAAUGGUUUGACGAGAAAUCAUCUGUCUCUUAAUAAUUUAUAAAAUUUAACUUUUGAGUUAAAAGGCUUAAAUUUUUUUUUAGGACGAGAAGACCCUAUAGAGCUUAACAUUUUAUUUUUAUAUAUUUUUUUGUUAAUUUUUCUAUAUAGAAUAAUAAUGUUUUGUUGGGGUGACAUGAAGAAUGAAUAAACUCUUCAUUAUUAAAUCAUUAAUUUAUGUUUAUUUUGAUCCAUAAUUUAUGAUCAUAAGAUUAAGUUACCUUAGGGAUAACAGCGUAAUUGUUUUUGAGAGCUCAUAUCAACAAAGCAGAUUGCGACCUCGAUGUUGGAUUAAGAAAAAUUUUGGGUGCAGGAGCCCAAUAAUUAGGUCUGUUCGACCUUUAAAUUCUUACG